CUCGUAGUUGGACCUGUGUUCCACGCUGUCGGUUCGCCGCCCGUCGGUGUCAACUGGCAUGUCCUGUGGAACGUCCUGCCGGUGGCGGUCCGGGCUUUCGGCUUGCGUAAGGGCUCACGCCCGAAGCAGGCCGAACAGUACCGGCCGCCGGUCCAAUCCCGCCACGGUGCUCUUCACCGAGUGUCGAGGUGGGCCGGCACGUUUACUUUGAACAAAUUAGAGUGCUUAAAGCAGGCUGGUGUCCGCCUGAAUACUGUGUGCAUGGAAUAAUAGAAUAGGACCUCGGUUCUAUUUUGUUGGUUUUCGGAACCCGAGGUAAUGAUUAAUAGGGACAGGCGGGGGCAUUCGUAUUGCGACGUUAGAGGUGAAAUUCUUGGAUCGUCGCAAGACGAACCUAAGCGAAAGCAUUUGCCAAGUAUGUUCUCGUUAAUCAAGAACGAAAGUUAGAGGUUCGAAGGCGAUCAGAUACCGCCCUAGUUCUAACCAUAAACGAUGCCAGCCAGCGAUCCGCCGAAGUUCCUCCGAUGACUCGGCGGGCAGCUUCCGGGAAACCAAAGCUUUUGGGUUCCGGGGGAAGUAUGGUUGCAAAGCUGAAACUUAAAGGAAUUGACGGAAGGGCACCACCAGGAGUGGAGCCUGCGGCUUAAUUUGACUCAACACGGGAAACCUCACCAGGCCCGGACACCGGAAGGAUUGACAGAUUGAGAGCUCUUUCUUGAUUCGGUGGGUGGUGGUGCAUGGCCGUUCUUAGUUGGUGGAGCGAUUUGUCUGGUUAAUUCCGAUAACGAACGAGACUCUAGCCUGCUAACUAGGCGAUUCCGGUACCCACAAUAGUGUUACCGGCGAUUCAAUUUCUUCUUAGAGGGACAGGCGGCUCCUAGCCGCACGAGACUGAGCAAUAACAGGUCUGUGAUGCCCUUAGAUGUCCUGGGCCGCACGCGCGCUACACUGAAGGAAUCAGCGUGUCUUCCCUGGCCGACAGGCCCGGGUAACCCGUUGAACCUCCUUCGUGCUAGGGAUUGGGGCUUGCAAUUGUUCCCCAUGAACGAGGAAUUCCCAGUAAGCGCGAGUCAUAAGCUCGCGUUGAUUACGUCCCUGCCCUUUGUACACACCGCCCGUCGCUACUACCGAUUGAAUGAUUUAGUGAGGUCUUCGGACUGGUGCGCGGCGAUCGGCUUUUACUGCCGGCCGCCGAUGUUGCCGGAAAGAUGACCAAACUUGAUCAUUUAGAGGAAGUAAAAGUCGUAACAAGGUUUCC
This 1258-nucleotide ribosomal RNA is filed under the name Deois flavopicta. RNAcentral describes it as "SSU rRNA". It matches the Rfam family "Eukaryotic small subunit ribosomal RNA", at positions 627 to 1804 of the family's 1831-position model. Lineage: Eukaryota; Metazoa; Arthropoda; Insecta; Hemiptera; Cercopidae. RNAcentral also lists the same sequence under 1 other name. The record is from RNAcentral.